Molecule: ribosomal RNA, 420 nt
Filed under: uncultured bacterium
Lineage: Bacteria
Description: bacterial SSU rRNA
Rfam family: Bacterial small subunit ribosomal RNA
Source: RNAcentral
ACGUCGACCGGCGAAUGGGUGAGUAACGCGUAUCCAACCUGGCCCCGAGUAGGGAACAGCCCGUCGAAAGCGGAUUAAUGCCCUAUGCCGUUCACAGCGGACAUCUAACGUGAACGAAAGAUUUCAUCGCUCGGGGAUGGGGAUGCGUCUGAUUAGGCAGUUGGCGGGGCAACGGCCCACCAAACCGACGAUCAGUAGGGGUUCUGAGAGGAAGGUCCCCCACAUUGGAACUGAGACACGGUCCAAACUCCUACGGGAGGCAGCAGUGAGGAAUAUUGGUCAAUGGGCGAGAGCCUGAACCAGCCAAGUAGCGUGCAGGACGACGGCCCUAUGGGUUGUAAACUGCUUUUACAGGGGAAUAAAGUGAGUCACGUGUGGUUCAUUGCAUGUACCCUGCGAAUAAGGACCGGCUAAUUCCGU